GUAAGGGAUAUUGCACAAUGGGCGCAAGCCUGAUGCAGCAACGCCGCGUGCCCGAAGAAGGCCUUCGGGUUGUAAAGGGCUUUUCUGGUUGACGAGGCAGGACAGUAGACCAGGAAGAAGAGACGGCUAACUACGUGCCAGCAGCCGCGGUAAAACGUAGGUCUCGAGCGUUAUCCGGAGUUACUGGGCGUAAAGCGCGGGCAGGCGGGGUCUCAAGUCGGACGUGAAAGCUCCUGGCUCAACCGGGAGAGGCCGUUCGAAACUGGGGCACUGGAGGGCAGUCGAGGUGCGUGGAAUUCCGGGUGGAGUGGUGAAAUGCGUAGAGAUCCGGAGGAACACCAGAGGCGAAGGCGGCGCACCAGGCUGCGACUGACGCUGAGCCGCGAAAGCAUGGGGAGCGAACGGGAUUAGAUACCCUUGUAGUCC
This 426-nucleotide ribosomal RNA is filed under the name uncultured bacterium. RNAcentral describes it as "bacterial SSU rRNA". It matches the Rfam family "Bacterial small subunit ribosomal RNA", at positions 354 to 796 of the family's 1533-position model. The record is from RNAcentral.